UGAGCAAGUGYUGACCACACAGCAGUGGAGACCACAGACACCCUGCAUAAGGAUACUGUCCCAGUUUCCUCUUCCUACACACCUGUUUGCCUCUGAUUAAAAGGACUGGGAAUCACUAAACAGGAAAUUCAAGAAAUCACAUGCCUAUUGUUAAGAUGCUGGAUCAUUAAAAGUCAGAAGCACAGAGCAUCCGAGCUGCCUACUGCAGACGCCUCCUCUUCCAGCUCAUGGAGUUGGAUGAGCUCAUCCUAAUUACACGGAAAACUGAAGGGAUGAGCAAAGGUCUAGCAACUGUAUCCUGGAGGACGGCACCGCCGAAGGCCUGCAGAUGCCUAUUUGGGAAAGGAGACUGCAAGCCUUUCUCAGGGAGAAGAAGUGGGGCUUGCUGCCAGGGAAGUUUUCAAGCAGAGCUGGGUGACCGAGCAUGUGGGUUGA
Long non-coding RNA from Urocitellus parryii (Arctic ground squirrel), 435 nucleotides. RefSeq lists it as uncharacterized. Lineage: Eukaryota; Metazoa; Chordata; Mammalia; Rodentia; Sciuridae. The record is from RefSeq and is a predicted model, not a curated record.